Long non-coding RNA from Piliocolobus tephrosceles (Ugandan red Colobus), 1007 nucleotides. RefSeq lists it as uncharacterized. Lineage: Eukaryota; Metazoa; Chordata; Mammalia; Primates; Cercopithecidae. The record is from RefSeq and is a predicted model, not a curated record. The transcript has 3 exons.
ACUUCCUGACCUCACCUGGGAUGGGAGAUAAGACUCCCACCGCCUACUUCACAGCUGUGCUAUGCGAUGAGAUCACGUCUGUAAAGACUCAACAGCUUGGAGGAAGACAUGAUAAGACCACAUCUUUGUGGGAUCACCCUGGAGCUUUCGGCGCCCAUUAAAAAAAAUGCCAACUGGGGCCGACUCUAACCGCAAACCUUCCCAUCAGCACUAACCGUUCAAUUGCUUCGUCUGAAACGUGACCAACGCUCUGUCUCCUGCGGGGUGAAUCACCAGCCUGCGCUCAUUAACCCAGUACCUGCCGACUGCCAAGGAAGGGCAGCUCCAGGACAGACUAGGUCAAUGUGGAUGUUCUCAAGCUCUCUCCCUGUUUGUGGAGCAGCCACUACUCAAGACGUGUGUGUCUAUUGUGCAUCAAAUCUAGGAACUCAGAAAAAUCGGCAAGGAGACCACAAGUGAAGACUCGUGUUCAACGGGAGUUUCAAGUCCUAAAAGUGAACCGCACUCCUGAGCCAGCUUGUUUAUAAAUACCCCACGCCCGUUGAGGCUCGUCCUUGUUACCUGCCCAUCAACCCUUCUUUAGCAACUUACCUCAGGCUGCUGUGUAAACAUUAUCCACGUCUUACCUCAGGCUGCUGUGUAAACAUUAUCCACGUCUACGCAUGCCAACAUGUGGAAAGGCUGAGCAGCCCUGCCCCAAAGCAAGAGUGAAGCUGCAAGCCAACUGAAGGCGAGGACAGUUCAGACAGAUAUCAAUGCUGGAGUUGAAGCCGUCAUAUGAGCACCAGAUUUGGCACAAGAUACCUGCGGUGUUCAACACUUGCUUCAUCAGUGACCACUCCAUGCCACCUGCUGCAAGAGUAAGAUGACUCAACAUGGGCAAAACCCAAUCUCCUGCCUCUAACUCACCUGUUCUCUCAGGGCUCCCAACCUUGGAAGCAUCUUGACUUUGAGAUUUCAUUCACAUCUCACACCCAGUCCAGAAGCAUUUUUUUUCUACUUACAUU